CCUACGGGAGGCAGCAGUAAGGAAUAUUGGACAAUGCUCGCAAGAGUGAUCCAGCCAUGCCGCGUGCAGGAAGACGGCCCUAUGGGUUGUAAACUGCUUUUGAACUAGAGAAAACCCUUCUACGUGUAGAAGGCUGAUAGUAUAGUUAGAAUAAGCAUCGGCUAACUUCGUGCCAGCAGCCGCGGUAAGACGAAGGAUGCAAGCGUUAUCCGGAUUCAUUGGGUUUAAAGGGAGCGUAGGUGGACUGAUAAGUCAGUGGUGAAAUCUCUCGGCUUAACCGAGAAAUUGCCAUUGAUACUGUUGGUCUUGAGUACAGUUGCUGUGGGCGGAAUAUGACAUGUAGUGGUGAAAUACAUAGAGAUGUCAUAGAACACCGAUUGCGAAGGCAGCUCACAAAGCUGUAACUGACACUGAGGCUCGAAAGUGCGGGGAUCAAACAGGAUUAGAUACCCUGGUAGUCCGCACUGUAAACGAUGAUUACUCGCUGCUGGGAGGUAACUUUCAGUGGNGUAGCGAAGAGAGAAGUAAUACCACCGUGGGAGGUACGCCGGCGACGGUAGAACGUACGAAGUAGAGUUAGGACGGCGNGGAGGACGNGCGACGGACGACGACGAGGGGAGGUUAGG
RNAcentral lists this ribosomal RNA (626 nucleotides) under uncultured bacterium. Its description in RNAcentral is "bacterial SSU rRNA". The stretch from base 1 to 535 matches the Rfam family "Bacterial small subunit ribosomal RNA", at positions 338 to 873 of the family's 1533-position model. The record is from RNAcentral.